RNAcentral lists this ribosomal RNA (1537 nucleotides) under Escherichia coli. Its description in RNAcentral is "partial 23S ribosomal RNA". It matches the Rfam family "Bacterial large subunit ribosomal RNA", at positions 1105 to 2625 of the family's 2925-position model. The record is from RNAcentral. Lineage: Bacteria; Pseudomonadati; Pseudomonadota; Gammaproteobacteria; Enterobacterales; Enterobacteriaceae.
CUUAGAAGCAGCCAUCAUUUAAAGAAAGCGUAAUAGCUCACUGGUCGAGUCGGCCUGCGCGGAAGAUGUAACGGGGCUAAACCAUGCACCGAAGCUGCGGCAGCGACACUAUGUGUUGUUGGGUAGGGGAGCGUUCUGUAAGCCUGUGAAGGUGUACUGUGAGGUAUGCUGGAGGUAUCAGAAGUGCGAAUGCUGACAUAAGUAACGAUAAAGCGGGUGAAAAGCCCGCUCGCCGGAAGACCAAGGGUUCCUGUCCAACGUUAAUCGGGGCAGGGUGAGUCGACCCCUAAGGCGAGGCCGAAAGGCGUAGUCGAUGGGAAACAGGUUAAUAUUCCUGUACUUGGUGUUACUGCGAAGGGGGGACGGAGAAGGCUAUGUUGGCCGGGCGACGGUUGUCCCGGUUUAAGCGUGUAGGCUGAUUUUCCAGGCAAAUCCGGAAAAUCAAGGCUGAGGCGUGAUGACGAGGCACUACGGUGCUGAAGCAACAAAUGCCCUGCUUCCAGGAAAAGCCUCUAAGCAUCAGGUAACAUCAAAUCGUACCCCAAACCGACACAGGUGGUCAGGUAGAGAAUACCAAGGCGCUUGAGAGAACUCGGGUGAAGGAACUAGGCAAAAUGGUGCCGUAACUUCGGGAGAAGGCACGCUGAUAUGUAGGUGAAGCGACUUGCUCGUGGAGCUGAAAUCAGUCGAAGAUACCAGCUGGCUGCAACUGUUUAUUAAAAACACAGCACUGUGCAAACACGAAAGUGGACGUAUACGGUGUGACGCCUGCCCGGUGCCGGAAGGUUAAUUGAUGGGGUUAGCGGUAACGCGAAGCUCUUGAUCGAAGCCCCGGUAAACGGCGGCCGUAACUAUAACGGUCCUAAGGUAGCGAAAUUCCUUGUCGGGUAAGUUCCGACCUGCACGAAUGGCGUAAUGAUGGCCAGGCUGUCUCCACCCGAGACUCAGUGAAAUUGAACUCGCUGUGAAGAUGCAGUGUACCCGCGGCAAGACGGAAAGACCCCGUGAACCUUUACUAUAGCUUGACACUGAACAUUGAGCCUUGAUGUGUAGGAUAGGUGGGAGGCUUUGAAGUGUGGACGCCAGUCUGCAUGGAGCCGACCUUGAAAUACCACCCUUUAAUGUUUGAUGUUCUAACGUUGGCCCGUUAUCCGGGUUGCGGACAGUGUCUGGUGGGUAGUUUGACUGGGGCGGUCUCCUCCUAAAGAGUAACGGAGGAGCACGAAGGUUGGCUAAUCCUGGUCGGACAUCAGGAGGUUAGUGCAAUGGCAUAAGCCAGCUUGACUGCGAGCGUGACGGCGCGAGCAGGUGCGAAAGCAGGUCAUAGUGAUCCGGUGGUUCUGAAUGGAAGGGCCAUCGCUCAACGGAUAAAAGGUACUCCGGGGAUAACAGGCUGAUACCGCCCAAGAGUUCAUAUCGACGGCGGUGUUUGGCACCUCGAUGUCGGCUCAUCACAUCCUGGGGCUGAAGUAGGUCCCAAGGGUAUGGCUGUUCGCCAUUUAAAGUGGUACGCGAGCUGGGUUUAGAACGUCGUGAG